AGGGGUGUCGUCAAGUGGUAAGACAGCAGAUUUUGAUUCUGCCAUGCGCAGGUUCGAUCCCUGCCACCCCUGCCA
RNAcentral lists this transfer RNA (75 nucleotides) under Halobacteriovoraceae bacterium. RNAcentral's name for it is "tRNA-Gln". It matches the Rfam family "tRNA". From Rfam's summary of the family: Transfer RNA (tRNA) molecules are approximately 80 nucleotides in length. RNAcentral also lists the same sequence under 2 other names. The record is from RNAcentral. Lineage: Bacteria; Pseudomonadati; Bdellovibrionota; Bacteriovoracia; Bacteriovoracales; Halobacteriovoraceae.